GUGUGAGAACAGACUGUUGAAAUGCUACUACAACUGCGAUGAAUAUUCUACUAACGGCAAGUGAUUUAGUCGAAAGGAGACUAAAAAGAAGCAUGACUAGAUGUGUUGUGUACACAGAUGUUUUGAUACAUCUUUGGUUGAUAUUGGUCAGUGUUGAAGGAUGGACGUAUCACUGGAAGGAGAACGAGAAAAUGACCUGGAAUGAGACAAGGGCGUGGUGUCAAAAAGAAUACACAGACAUUGUGAUGGUCCACAAUGAAAAUGUAACACGCUUCCUUGAAAAAAAUUUGCCUGAAAAAUCUUCAUCUCCUUACUUCUGGAUUGGAAUGAAAAAGAUCAAUGACAUUUGGACGUGGGCUGCCAAUGGACAGAGGGUGGACAAUGAAAACUGGGCACCCACUGAGCCCAACAACAACAAUGCAGAUGAGAACUGUGUGGAAUUAUACACCAACACUAACAAUAAAGGAAAGUGGAAUGAUGACAGCUGUGAACAUAAAAAGCAUCCUUUAUGCCAGAAAGCACAGUGUCCAAACAAUUGCACUGAUAGACAGUACUGCGUAGAACAAGUCAACAACGUCACCUGUGUGUGUAAAACAGGUUUCUCUGGGCCAGAGUGUGAAACAGGUCAGAACAAACACUUCAACAGAAGUGAAAUAUAUUAUUAUUUAAUAGCAGUUCUUAGCUGGUGGCUCACGACCCGGGUCUGUUCUGAUGGGGUCAGCGAAAAAACGAUGUUUAAUGGACAUAGUUAUAUAUAAUCCUGGAUGUACUGUAUUAUUUUAUGAUAAUCUUUACUUAAAAUAAUAUUUUACCCAAAAAAUGAAAAUUUGCUGUAAAUGUACUCACCCUCAGACGAUCCAAGAUGUGGAUGAACCGUUUCUUCAUCAGAUGAGUAAAUUCGAAUCUUCGUCGGAUUAGUAAAUCUUCUGCAAAUUUUCCAUAUUGGGUGAACUACUCCUUUAAGACAUUUCUUGAUCAUGCAGUCUUUUUCUCUCUGUCUCUCCAGUGGUUUCAUGUGAACCACUCUCUGCACCACCACAUGGCGGGAUGCAAUGCUCCGGUCCGUAUGGGAAUCAUUCACUCAACUCAGAUUGUACAUUUUCUUGUGUUGGUGGUUAUAAACUGAAUGGUAAAGAUGAGCUCAAAUGCAAUUCCUCCGGUGCAUGGAACGCACCACCACCUUCAUGUGCAGGUGCAAUAUCGGAGUGUUUUCCCAUUCUUUUGUUUGGUGGUGGAUUGCUGAACUGCACUGAAGGACAUGACAGCAUCAGAUCUGCCUGUAGAGUACAGUGUCCACCUGGUCACCUGCUGCUGGGGUUUGUUGAGUUCACCUGCAGAGCUGAUGGCACAUGGGAGUCUUCCUUUCCACUAAUGUGUGCAAGUUAUGUCCAUUUUCUAAUUGCUCUUUUGGCAUCUGUUGUCAUCUCUGUGUUUUGUGGCUGUUUAUUUUGUUGCUCCAGCUGCAGAAGGAGUAAAAAGACAGUGAGAACUCGACCAGAAACAGAGAAUCCAGCAUUUGAAGCAGAACACACACCACUAGAGGGCCCUCUCUGUUCAGCAUAAACAUUUCUAAUCUGGAUGUCUAAACGGGGAUUAAUUAAAAUCCUCUUCUGUUUUUUUA
Long non-coding RNA from Carassius auratus (goldfish), 1621 nucleotides. RefSeq lists it as uncharacterized. NCBI's taxonomy places the organism in Eukaryota, Metazoa, Chordata, Actinopteri, Cypriniformes, Cyprinidae. The record is from RefSeq and is a predicted model, not a curated record. The transcript is spliced from 8 exons.